CUACGGGUCGCUGCAGUGAGGAAUAUUGCACAAUGGGGGGAACCCUGAUGCAGCAACGCCGCGUGGAGGAUGACGCAUUUCGGUGUGUAAACUCCUUUUAUAUGUCAAGGAAAUGACGGUAGCAUAUGAAUAAGCACCGGCUAACUCUGUGCCAGCAGCCGCGGUAAUACGGAGGGUGCAAGCGUUACUCGGAAUCACUGGGCGUAAAGGACGCGUAGGCGGGUUGGAAAGUCAGGUGUGAAAUCCUACAGCUUAACUGUAGAACUGCACUUGAAACUUCUAAUCUAGAGUAUGGGAGGGGGAGAUGGAAUUAGUGGUGUAGGGGUAAAAUCCGUAGAUAUCACUAGGAAUACCUAAAGCGAAGGCGAUCUCCUGGAACAUUACUGACGCUAAGGCGUGAAAGCGUGGGGAGCAAACAGGAUUAGAUACCCCGGUAGUC
RNAcentral lists this ribosomal RNA (439 nucleotides) under uncultured bacterium. Its description in RNAcentral is "partial 16S ribosomal RNA". It matches the Rfam family "Bacterial small subunit ribosomal RNA", at positions 339 to 795 of the family's 1533-position model. The record is from RNAcentral.